UCGGCUGGAAGGAACCGGUUUCUCCUUCCUUGGCCACGUCAGAGACGGCUGGGGUGCAGGCCACUCCUGCCGCAAGGUGCGGGCGUCCCCCUUGUCCCAGGGCCGUUCCUCCGUGCCCACGGCCAUGUCCCCCCUCUGGUUCUCUCUCCGCACAGAUGCAGAAUGUCAUGUACGACUUGAUCACGGAGCUCAACGACCGCAGCGAGGACCUGGAGAAGCAGAUCGGCAGCCUGGAGAGUAAGCUGGAGCACCUCACGGCCAGCUUCAACUCCCUGCCCCUGCUCAUCGCAGACACCCUGCGCCAGCAGCAGCAGCAGCUCCUGACGGCCAUCCUGGAGGCCCGGGGCGUCAGCGUGGCCGUGGGCACCACGCACGCCCCGCUCUCCGACAGCCCGAUCGGGGUCAGCUCCACCUCCUUCCCGACCCCGUACACGAGUUCAAGCAGUUGCUAAAUAAAACUCCCCUCUCCGGAAGCGUUACCCAUAGGUCUUAAGAUGCAGAUCCACUCUGUCCUGGUCGCUUUGCCAUCGCGGAACUCGGAGACCAGGGAGCGGAAAGAAGAGACGGAGCUCACUAGCUGACUCGGCCCACUCGUGCUUGGUUCGAAAUGCCUUGAAACCAGAAAUCUAAUCUCUGUUUAGGUGCCUCUACUUGGGAGCGGGACGAGGAGAGGACAGGAAGCGACGCCUCUGGCGGGGCCCUUGCUGCAGAGUUGGUGGAGAACAGAAUCCACGCUCAAUCUCAGGUCUUCACGUGGGGGUGGGAGGGGCAGGUGCUCGGAGCAGCCACGGUGAAGCCAGGCCAGAAGAGGGGCCUGGGAGAGGGGUGGGGCAGGCUUGGGGAUGGGUCCCUCGUGGGGACCUAGAGCAUGCCUCUCUCCUUCCGUCUAGAAAGCUUGGGUGACAAAAAGUAAGAGAGCUGCCCACAACUUGCCAAAACAGACAUACCCAGUUUAGACUGAAAAAAAGGUUGAUAAUGAGAACUGCACACACACACACACACACACAAAUACAAAUUAAAAGCCAGAUUUUUCCAUCCAACAUAAAUACCUAUAUAAGCCUGGGUGUUUGCACGUGCGCGCGCACACACACACACAAUUUCCCACACCCCACAUUCAGUCCAAGUCCUUUCUUGUUUGAACUUCACCCAAAUACAAAGGGACCUGAUAUUGUCCCCUGCACACAGUAGGCACUCUCUUAAUGAGUUGAGUGGGUUUGAAUAUGAACACAGGGUAUAUUCAGCCCAGGUAGUUAGGUAGUGUUGGCCACAUCCUGGGCCCCUCUGAAGACACAGGUCCCUUCCAACACAGUGCAGGUUGCUUUGCCCUGGAUACACACCGUGCAUGAUUUGAAGUGGAUGCCAAGCCAAAACUGUUGGCAUUCUGGAGGGGUAAGCAGGCUUCUGAAAAUAACAGCUUUUGCAGGGCUUCCUUCUUACAUCCAAACAAGCUGUUCUGAUGGACUACACACCCGUACUAUGUGAGGGAGGGGGUCCAGAGGAUUAUGCAUGUGUUUGCACAAUGCACCAACAGAUGCAACCCAAUGGCAUCUUGGUGGACAGAAGUAUUGUCUGGGGAUUUGCUGAGCUGUAUUCACCGAGCAGCAUGUUUCCAGCCCCUGACAUUAGAAAUGCAAAGGGUCAAGCACCUCACCUUGGAGCUGCUGAGCUGGGAGGAGAAGGAUAGAGAGUGGCCCACAUGGUCCCUUCUACCUGACCUGAAGUCACCUCAAAAUGAAAUAUUGUGAGAACAAAGGGAGUCUUUAGGGAAUCUUGUGGGUAAGGUAAGAAGAAUAGAUUUGUCAGAAGCCUAUGCAUAUUGUGCCAUGUUAAAUCUCGGUGCAAAAACAAUUUCAAUACAUCACAAAUUCCAAGAGACUCCAGAAACAUCAAGAUGCAGUGUAGUGACAGGAACCAAAUUUUUUUCUUUCAUUUCUCCAUAAUCUGUCCACACACAGUAUUUGUGUCAUGUUAUUCAUCAUUUUCCUCAUUCUGAUGUCCUUGACUUCUACUUGUGGGAAACUAAUGAUACUGUAUGGAAUAUUUCAUCUGUUUAGGGUCAAACAAAAGGGUGUUACUGCAUAGGGGGUUAUCAUUUGUGGUCGGGCUUUGUAACAAGUCAUCUCCAUUCAUAAGGCCAGGCUUUGUGGUGCAAAUUUUUAUUUUUAUUUUUAUUUUGGACUGGGGAUUGAACCCAGGGGUACUCUACCUUGAGCUACAAUCUCAGCCCUUUUUAUUUUUUGAGACAAGGCCUUGCUAAGUUGCUGAGACUGGCUUUGCAUUUGUGAUCUUCCUGUCUCAACCUCUGGAGUCCCUGGGAUCACAGGGGUGCAGCAUGGCUCCUGGUAGUAGAUUUUUCUUCUACAGCACUGGGCCUGGUCUUCUAAGGAUGAGGGAAUCACUAGACUGUAAGGUAGACAAUUCUAGAGCAAAGGCUACUCUUUCAGGAAGAUCUGGGCUCUUGCUAACCUUCUUCUUUUGGGUCUUGCUAUUGCUACCUUCCCCCCCCCCUCCCCAGUGCUGGGGAGGCAACCCAGAGCCUCACACAUUCUAAGCAAAUGCUCUGCCACUGAGUUAAACCUCAGGCCACUGCUGUUGUUUAAAUGAUCUGUCUUCUUAAAGGUUUAUCUUGAGAAUUUUCAUGGGUUGUUUUGCAUACUGGAGAUGCUACACCUGCUUUUGGCUUUUUAUAUUUUCCACUUGUUCUUUUAACUAUUGACUAUCUGGAAGACUCCCACCUCUUUUUUUCUUUUCCUUUUGUUCCAAGAAUGGUACUCCUAUUUUCAGUGACAGUUCCACCAAAUAUAUAAGCAGAUGUAUAAACAGAUGAAAUAGCCACACAGUUUAUUUGUGGCACUAAUUCUGCUUCACAACGUGCAGACCACUGAUGGUUCAACUUAAGGGUGCCAGUCCCGAUCAUUUAGACUACAGCCAUCAACUAUGGAUUCCUACUUACCCUUCCCUCCCACUAUAACUCUGUGCUGUGUGUGUGUGUGUGUGUGUGUGUGGUGUGUGCACGUGCACAUGGGUGUGUGCACACAGAGAGAUUUAGUCUUCAUUUCACAUAAAUGACUUACAGAAUUCACUGCCACUCCUCUUGCCCCAAAGUGUGUGCAGACUGUCAUUUAUCUGAAUUAUCACAGGCUGUAGAUAAUUCUUUUUAAAUCCAUUAUCGAUGCUCUUGCUAGGUCAACCCUGAAGAUGAAGUGAGCAAUGGUAGUUGAGGAAAUGGUUGGAGUUAUUUCCAGUAGCAGGAGCCAGGGGCAUCGUAGAGACACAUGGGCAUUGGUAGCAUGACUUGACCUAUUGGUAGUGCAAUAGCUAGGGUGAAUUUUAUCUUUGGCAAAAGAUACUCUUAAAAAAAAAAGUGAAUCUGCAUGUUGAUCCCUUAAUGGCAAAUGGGAUGUGACUUCUCUGUACUAGUGCUUCAGCUUUAUGUGGGGAAGUUACGAUUCUGCUGCAAGUACAAUCAACCCUUGAAGACCUAGGUGUUCAUUAUCCUGGGUGUAGCUCACCCGGAUUUUCCUCCUACAUCUUUUUGCUGAUUCCGCUGCACCUCAGCAACACAGUCAGAUGGGGGAAGGGGACCGGUGAAUUCUAAUGUCAUGCCUUCUUGUACCUGAUUCUCAAGUUUGGUCAUGGAAGAGGUUUAAUUAUCUGCUCAAGAAUGGGCUACAUGUAAAAACUAACCAUCACAGAAACCUCAGUCCAGUCCAGAACCCAUCAAUUUCCGCCCCCUUCUGGAAGGCUGACCCAGUGGCGGAGCCCCUGCUAUAACCUUUCCAAUAAUGCAGUGGCAGGUAAAAGCAUCCUAAUAAUCCACAGAAUAUCUAGACACUUGAAUUAGAAAUACAGAGCCACCCCCCUCCCAUCGCUUAAGCCAUAUUAUAGCUUCGUGUACUGAAAAGUCAGGGAUGUACUGUGAUACUUUAAGACCACUAAUCUCAGUGGAAUUUCAGGACAUAGCAUCAGUUGGUGAAUUAUACCAGACUAGAAGCUCACUCCUCCUUAGAUUGAAGUCCAAAUACAACCUGCACCUUUGGAUCAAAGGCCACAUAUCUGUGAUCAUCAUCAAUAACCAUUCUUGCCAUCUUCAUAAUAUGUCACUUCAUGCCAUCAUAUCUCUAGAAAUGCUUAAUAUAAUCCAAAAGAGCAAGAGGGGUACAGCCCUGAGUCCCCACUGAUGGCCUGACAUCUGUGGGGACCAGGGGCAUCAUAACCUCGUAAAUGAGGAGACGUGGAAAAUGUACAUGCAGGCCAGCUCUAAAGUGCUCAGUGCAAAUAGUUUUAUCAUUAAAGGUCGAGAAGGAGUAGCAUUAAAGAAAUGAUAAUUUUAAUAUAUUGGGGAUUUCCUCCUUAAAUUUUCCAUAAUUUCCUUGUGAAUAAAUCAUGAAAAAGAAGAAGACUAGUGAUACAAAAAUCAGAAUAAAUAAAAACUUAAGACUGGAUCCACAUCUUUGGCCAACUAAUAUAACCACUUUAUACCUCAGUUUCUCUGUACUUAUAAUGAAGACAAUAGUUACUAUUGCUAAGUACAAAGUAUUCAAUAGAGGAAAACAAUGAAACCAUUAUUGUCAUCGACAACAACCCAGCCUGACUCUAGCUAGUCCCCGAUUUGAUGUUGUAUUUGAAUGUAGUCAAUAGUUACCAAAAAGUAAUUAUUACAUAGCAAAUAAGUAGUGAAACUGGCAGGGAGAAAUAGCGCCUAGUUUCAGAACCACCCCUCUGCCUCCUCCAGAUUGUCACUUGAUAGACAGUGCACCCCCAAAUCAGAAUCAGUGUUUCAUCUCAGAACCAAGGAUUUUGCUACUACCAUCCAUCAUAAAAACCCAGCCGAGACACUAAUGAAGUCAUUGCACUACCAGUAGGUUGCUAUUCUUUUUUAAAAAUCACUGAAUUUAAAUCCUAAAAUUUGUCUCCAGUUUUACACAGUCAUUCUGCUUCCCUGAAGGUUGCUAGAAGCAGAUUAAGGAUCCGUUCGUGGUCAUCGGGCUGUCCCUGUUGGUUCCGCGGUGUUUGAUUUCAGUACCUUAGACAGCUAUCCGUGGCUUCCCGGCAGGCGUGGGGCAGCGCCUUCCCUCCCGCUGCAGUGUGCGGGCUUGAGGACGCCCUGGACACUAGCCCUUCCUUCCUUCCCCACUGCCGCCAGAGUCAACGUUUAGGAGAUCACUGGUACCACGAGGAAAGGAGCCUUACGGGGAGAGCUACGUCAACUUUCUGUCUGGGGUAGUGGGAAGCUCGUGCCAGGCUGCAUGAAUAGAAAUUAACACUUAACUCCUGUCAGGCGAGUAAUGCGUAGAUUUAUAUUGAGAUAGGCCACAGCUUAUUUAAGACGUACUCAGUGCAAGGGUAUAUAGAUACAUAUAGAUAGAGAAACAAUAUAACUGUGAUCUUUUUGUCUUACACCAUUACUGGAAACACCCAAACUCGAACUGGAGUUCCCUCUGAACAAAAACCAUUGUCAAAUCUUCAACGGAUGACCUCCAUACCUAGGUGCCAAGUGCCCCGUGACAGUGUUUACACACCUGGGAAUUGUAGUCUGGAAGCUGUAAUCUUGGGCCUGGACAAACAAAAGAGACGUCGUGACCAACCGAGCUGGUGGAGGAAAAGCACAAAACCCAAUACCAACCUGUACAGUUAGGAUCCCAAAGAGAUGCUGACAUUUCCGGCCAAAAACAAACAAAAAAACAAUAGUGACAAAUCAAAUCUGAUUGGAACCGCCAACAUCCAGGUUCUCGGAAGAAGGACAGGGAAUAAACGACAUUCUCUAGCUGUGUCCGUUUUUGAAUCCCAACCAGGACUGACCGACCUUCAUCAGACGUUUUUAACGGCGCAACAACUCGAUUUGGGUCCCAGACUCUCCAUUCUGCGCGGCCACAAGAGAACAACAAGAGAGCAUGACAGGAUGUUCAUGGAGGGGACAUUUCCAUGGCAAACUCAGAGACUGAAGUGUUUAUAUCCUGAAUCAGACGAGCUUCAAUAUGAAUUUGCAUCUUGCCUCUGUACUGCUUGCUAUUUUUUAAAUGAUAGGAGAAAGCAUAACAGUUUAUUUUAAAUAUGAAAUAUAUUGCUAUAUUAUAAAAUAUAUUGUAACUUUCAAUUAACAUUUUGUAUCAAACUAGUCUUUAGCAGGUCCAGUGUCAGCCUGCUCUCCCAACCACUGUUUCUGAGUACACAUCAUUGUUAGAGAUCGCCUGACUCCCAGGCCACAGGCCUGGUCCCACAACCUAUGAACUGCCAUAUUCUCAUUUUUCUAAGACCUAAAUAUUAGUGACAAAAAAAAAAUACUAUUACAAACUUAGAAGGAUGAUUCUACCCUAAAAUCUGUCAAGCCAUUUCAGAAGAGAUUUUAAAAGCCAUCACUCCUUUAAGUAACAGCACAGAGCCAGUUUAAUAAAAGUACAGAUUCUUUCUAUAGAAAUGCAAAGACCCCAUGCUAUAAAUUAGGUCUCCACUGCAGCCAACCCGUUUUCCUUUGGCCAUGUCAAAAUUGGGCACAAGGAAGAAUCCUGUUUUUCUUGUGACUCAAAAGACUCAAAAUUUCUAAGCAUUGUGAGUUGCUUAGUUGUGUGUGGGAAGAGUAAAAACGGGGUUUGAGUCCCCCCAGGCAGGGCCCAGGGAGAGCCCAUGCAGAUGUGCUUUUCUGAGUUGGCAAUUUCCUGAAGGGAGCGCGGUUUCCACGUGUCUGUCACCAACGUGGAGCCCGGCUCUUGUGGCAAGAAGAGGCAGGACACCCACAGGAGGAUCCAGCAAAGAGCUGGGCUCCCUGUUCUGCUCAUUUACCCUUAGCUGGAGGAAUCCUUUUCGGCUAAGAUGUUUUCUUUUAUGGCAAAAUUAAGCAACUCAUGAAAUCCACUCCCCUCCUGCAGCUGAGACACAUGUAGAAUCUCUCAGUUCCCUCUUUUGAAUGACCACGUUCCUAUUUCUAGAUGAAAACGGAUGUAUUCAGUUACAGAACAAAGAUUUCCUCAAAUCAGUGAGCCUCCUCCAGGUGAGGACCCUCCCUUUCAGUCACGGUUUCUGUUUAGUAUUGUAUAGGUGCAAACCAAAUAGCAUAAAGGUAGGUUUAACUUAGCUUGUGUGUCUCAACACAAACGUGGGAAAUUCAACAGCUAUCCAGAUAGUACCAAACAACAGGGUUUCUCCUUGGGUGGGGGUGUGGGGGACUGGAAUCCUCCCAACUUUCAGUGUGUUUGAACUUCAAUUCUCUUGUUCAUCUCACUAAAACCAAGGCUUGGGUCUCCAUGAUGUUAGUUAUUCAUGGAGCGUGAAAGCAAAAUCUCUAAAUGCCCAUUUCAAUCUGCUUGAGUAGUUGAGUCCCAUUUUGUACACAAGUUGUGUCUGUGUGGAGCUAAAUACACUCAGCGUCUGUGUCACUCCUCAGUUACACGCUAGGCUGAGUGCCAUUAAAGCCAUCAGAACUCUGGGGCACCUGCUUUAGUUUAUUUCCUCGCUGGGUAAUGGAAAUUAGCUAAUUCUCAACUUUAUCAUUGACUGAUGAAAUGCACUGAUGGUCAUCGAUUUGUUUCUUAAUACUUUUCUGCUGCUAAAUAGAACUAUCUCUUUUGGCUUUUCCUUCUAGCACUUCCCAGACUGACAAAGAUGUUUCCAUUUAUAGAGAACAAAUACAUUCUGACCUUUCCCAACAAAGUUGUUACUCAACGAAACCAACACAAAUUCCAGAGUUGGGGAAAGCAGAACUCUGGACUGUAAUUCAAGUGCAUGGCUAUAUGCUAAUCCUUGCUACUCUGGAGUGUGGCCCAUGGGUUAGCAGCAGUAGAAUCACCUGUAAGCUCUCUAGAAAUGCAGAAUCUCAAGCCUCACAUCAAACCUGCUUAAAUCGGCCUUUUCACAAGAUCCCCAGGUGAUCUGUAUGCACAGUAAACAUUGAGAAGGGCUAGCUUCACCCCACGGUAACAGACCAACCUCAUUAAUAAUUAGAGAAUGAAACCAUUUCUUUCCUGAGCUUCAUUUACCAGAUGACUUGGUGAUGUAAAACCCCUUUAUGAUCAUAAGGAUAAAGACAAAUGCAUCUUCAAAUUCCAUUUGAAGUCAUACAGCUUGGAUGGUGUACAUGAAACAGUAGAGUCAAUAAGAGGCGGUCUUUUUCUAGCCUAAUUUAAAGAGGGCUCACUUUAUAGCCUUGAGCAACUUCAAAGCCCCUUUUAAGCUUUUUUUUUUUUUUUUUUUUCAUUUUAGCUUGUGCUAGCAAGGCCAGGAGGAUAUGAGGUGGAGCCUCAGGGCAGGUCCCCUGAAACAGAAGGCCCCCUGGGUCUCUCCGCUAGCAUAGUGCAAAGGAAGCUGCCUUUUGUGAUCUCUGUGUUUCUUCUGAACUCUCCUCCUCUAGAGGAAACUAGCAAGGGAAAUCAGUUCAACCACUGGAAACAGUCCUAAUGUCUUCUAAAGCCAAUUCUCUUAUUUCAUUGCACCAACCAAGGUGGGGAGAGAAAGAUGGGAAUUCUGAUAUUGGCGCCAUAAAUUGAUAUGUACCCAGAAACAGUUAAUGUUCUAAAUUAAUGGCUUUAACCUGUUCAUUGUAAAAAGUGCCUUGGACUUCAAUCUAAAGAGGUCAGUAUAAAUAUGUAUGUGUGUGUGUGAUGUGUAUGUAGGCAAAUAUUUACAUAUUUAUACAUACAUAGGUGCACACACGUAUACCUGCACAUUCAUAUAUAAUAUAUAUAUAUAUAUAUACAUACAUAUAUAAAUGCUUCGUAAUAUAUCAUUGCUAUUCAUAGCUCCAUUUCUUGUCCGGUCCU
Molecule: long non-coding RNA, 8753 nt
Filed under: Marmota monax (woodchuck)
Lineage: Eukaryota; Metazoa; Chordata; Mammalia; Rodentia; Sciuridae
Source: RNAcentral